UCGUCUCCAAAAUGAUUCUGGGAAUCAUUUGGUAUGGUAGGAGAUGGGUUAGUUUGAGCGAUAAUAAAUUGCAUUUCGCAACUCUUGAACUUCGAAUUCCCGCCGAAAAGAGACGCGUACUGGAACAUUACAGCAGAGGUUUCAAAGAAAUUCGGCGCUAAUAUAAAGAGGAGCCAAGCGACAACUCGGCAUCAACACUCUUUCCGAGUCUCCGGAUCGAAUUUCACUUCAACCCAGAGGUCCAGCACCAGUUGACGCGCCACAUUCAAAAUGAACCAACUUCUGUUUUUCUUCGUGCUGAUGAUCGUUGCCUUGGCAGUCCUCGGUGAUCCAGCAGUGUACAGCAAUCCGUGGAUGCUUCGUAGACCUUUCUACGGUGCGGAGUUCAGGAGACAGGAGAUUCCUCGUGCUAGCCUCAGCCAAGGCCAUCUAGGAUUUGGUGGCAUCAUUUUUGGUUGAUGGAGAUAUUGCUAUUCAAAACCAUAAAUACAGUAAUUUGAUUAAUUUGCUGUUGCAAAAAAUGUUUUAGUUUUAUCUAUAUGAAAUGCAGCGCAUUACAUACACCAAUAUAUUAUAACUGUUAACCACAUCGCUUACAAUUGUUGCACAAUUGUUUUUUUACUUCGAUUUGUCUUAUAUAUUUACACUUUUCCCUUGUUAACAGUGAAAUGUUAUUUGAGAGAUUUUUGUUUGAUUGCCGCUGUGAUUUAAAAGUAGCGAUAUCUCACUGAAUGAUGGAAAAAUACAUCUGGGAAUGAAUUAAA
Molecule: long non-coding RNA, 764 nt
Organism: Daphnia pulicaria
Lineage: Eukaryota; Metazoa; Arthropoda; Branchiopoda; Diplostraca; Daphniidae
Exons: 2
Source: RefSeq, a predicted model, not a curated record